GCAAAACAACCAGAUGAAAACUGUGAUGGUGUUGGAUUGUCAGACCGUAAUGUUGCAGCUCAAAGCAGCUUUUCUAGCUCAGUUCAUUCUGACAUUCAGCUAUGAAUCAACACAGCAGAUGGUGAUCCAUGCUGUGGAAGUCUCACAUCUCCUGAUUUAAUGGAGCUGCUUUGCACUUUUUACACUGUUUAUUCACCAACUCUUUAUUUAAUAAAAGUCCCAUCGAGUUUUUAUGAGGAAUGUGAUGUUUUAAUUUCUCUGUUAAUAACUGCAGUCUAAUGGAACAGCUGGAGUUGUAACAUCUGUCCUGAUAUUGAUCAUGAAGUAUUGAUCAGAUUACUUAUGGUCAGCAGUCAUCCCUGAAGUUUUACUUUAAAAUCUUUACUUGUGUUGUGAACUUUAGUAAGAAGCAGAAACGUUAGCGUUGCCAUGGAUACAUGAGUGUUAAAUUCUGUCCAUGUUUCCAUUUUGGGAAAUUCAGUCCAGCAGAUGAGUUUGUUUUUACUGCCAGCUACCAUUCAGUCUGAGAUAUUAAGAAUAAAUAAAUAUGCAUAAUGUGGAAAUGAACAGAUUUUAUUUUUAUUUAUUCCUACAGCUGCUGCAUUUAAAGUUCCAGAAUGUGGAGGAAUUUAGGAUCACAAUCACAGACAACAAAUAUUAUAUGAAAGUCAGGUUGUUGUUGUUUAUCAGCACAAUACAAAAAGAUUCAUGUUAGAAAUAUUCCAGUUAAGACUCUAGAAUAUCAUGAUUUAUGUAAAUUUACCUCAAUAAUAUGAAUGUUCAGGUUAAGAUUGUACAGUGAUAUUUAUUAUGUAAGUUUAGCUGAUUAAAGUUUAUGACUCUGCACUAAAAUAUUAUUUAAACUGACAUCAUUAUUAUAAUAUUUAGGGUCAGACCCUACAGUAUUGAGAUUAAGAAAUCAAAUAUUCUAUAAAAUGUAAAUACACUGAACUCAUUUGGAUGUAUUUAAGUGAGACUCUACAAUAUUAUUUGACACAAAUCUAUCUAAAUCAAAAUUUGAAUCAUUUUUACUCCAAACAUUUACUGGACUGAUUUAAAUAUUAAAAUCACUCCUUUCUAAUCCUCUGCUGUACGUUCAAACCUGAGGCCUUAAAUAGAAACACACAAGUAUCUGAUUGAAGGAACUUCUGCAGAGUCCUGGUUCCAGAACAUGAUGAUAGAAUUAUAGACAAACUUUAACAAAAGCUGCCUGAGAGUUUACAGCUUUUUAUGUUGGAUUUCUUCAGUAAUUUAAUGACAGUUAUCAGCAAAAAUCAAUGUUCAUUUGAUGAACUUCAUUUCUAAAAACAUCCAGAAUUGGAGCUCAUAUCUUUGGCAGCUGUAAAGUUUCUGCUCCUUCAAAGUUCACAACACAAUGAAUGAAUUCCUAAAACACUCUCAAUGCUGGAGAGCGUUUGAUGCUGAAGCAGUGACCAGUUUUUCUGUUUCUUCUCUGGAGAUGCACAAUGAGGGACGUCUGCAGAGACUGAGAAAGAGUCUCACCACAUCCUGACAUGAGGAAAAAGACUUUAUUGAAGACUACAAUGAGAAAAACUAUCAGACAGCAGACGGCUGCAUUCAAGAGAGGAAGACCAUCAAACAUCCACGUCAGCUGAUGGAGGUCCAAGAGUCUCACCAAACAACCUACAGAGUGAAGACCUCGAAUUUUAGGCUGUUAGAUUGUUCCAGAUAAGACAAGUACAAGAUACUUCAGAGCCGUUCUACCACGAGCCUGACAGGAAGAACUCCAACAGCUACUGAAUGUUCCUGUGGUUCCCUCAAGGCUACAGGAGGAGUCCUACGAGGACGAGCCGGUCCACCUGAUGGAGGCCAGUCGCUGCGGUUCAAAGCCAACACGGACUACGUGGACUUCUACUGGACCACACGGAGGCCUUCAAACCGGACCAACAAGUUCACAGACUCCCCGACUCGUGGGUCUGAGGACGCCGCCGAGCCUCGGUCCAGCCGGCCUCCUGUCUGUGGGUGUUUGAGUGCUGAGAGGUUUGUGGAUGCAUGUGAACGUUCUGUGUUGAAACAGCAGCUUUGGACUCACUAACGCCGGGAAAAACCAAGAGCUCCUUUAUUUGUGACUUCCACUAAAAAACUGAUGAAAAUAAGUUUGCCAGGGUUCUGACUGAUAACAG
Amphiprion ocellaris (clown anemonefish) is the source of this 2144-nucleotide long non-coding RNA. NCBI's taxonomy places the organism in Eukaryota, Metazoa, Chordata, Actinopteri, Pomacentridae. The record is from Ensembl.